GCUCAGUAACGGCGAGUGAAGCGGCAACAGCUCAAAUUUGAAAUCUGGCCCCAGGCCCGAGUUGUAAUUUGCAGAGGAUGCUUUUGGUGCGGUGCCUUCCAAGUUCCCUAGAACGGGACGCCAGAGAGGGUGAGAGCCCCGUACAGUUGGACACCAAGCCUUUGUAAAGCUCCUUCGACGAGUCGAGUAGUUUGGGAAUGCUGCUCAAAAUGGGAGGUAUAUUUCUUCUAAAGCUAAAUACCGGCCAGAGACCGAUAGCGCACAAGUAGAGUGAUCGAAAGAUGAAAAGCACUUUGAAAAGAGGGUUAAACAGCACGUGAAAUUGUUAAAAGGGAAGCGCUUGUGACCAGACUUGCGUCCGGUGAAUCACCCAGCUCUCGCGGCUGGGGCACUUCGCCGGCUCAGGCCAGCAUCAGCUCGCUGUCGGGGACAAAAGCUUCAGGAACGUAGCUCUCUUCGGGGAGUGUUAUAGCCUGUUGCACAAUACCCUUCGGCGGGCUGAG
Molecule: ribosomal RNA, 503 nt
Filed under: Colletotrichum gloeosporioides
Lineage: Eukaryota; Fungi; Ascomycota; Sordariomycetes; Glomerellales; Glomerellaceae
Description: eukaryotic LSU rRNA
Rfam family: Eukaryotic large subunit ribosomal RNA
Source: RNAcentral